Xiphophorus maculatus (southern platyfish) is the source of this 73-nucleotide non-coding RNA. The record is from Rfam. Lineage: Eukaryota; Metazoa; Chordata; Actinopteri; Cyprinodontiformes; Poeciliidae.
GUUUCUGUAGUGUAAUGGAUAUCACGUUUGCUUUACACGCAAAAAGUAUCUGGUUCAAGACCAGACAGAAACA